GCAGGAACGUGAAGGAAGGACUGUGAGAGCGGAGGCCAGGCCGGUGCUGAAGGACAAGGCCUGGCGGCGUGGGGAGAGGACAAGCUUCUGCACUCUUCUGACCCCUAUCACGCCGAGAAUGAGAACGUCACUUCCAUCACAGGAAGUCUGCACGUGGGCCUUGGUGACGGAUGAUUCGGAAGAUUCGUCUACGGCUGCGGAGAACAGGCCGCUCAGGCCAGGGGUGCCGUGAGGAGGCUGAGGUCCCAGUCCCUGAGCCUCUGGCCAGGUCUCCAGUGGCAGGUGCCAAGAGCCAAGCCUUGCAGGUUGACAAUUUGGGCUCUGCGUUACGCUCACGGAUCCUGGCCAUGCCAGCCCCAACGGAUGUCCCCAGAGUGAGGGUGCGGCGAAGAGAGGCUGGCACUGCUAGAAAAAGCCAGUCUCCGGCCCCUGCUCCAGCUGGGUGACAGCAGAGACAAACAGGACCCCGGAGUGGCUCAGGCUGAGCCAAGACCCUCCGGGGCCCCCACGGGCCCUGCCUUUUCUCUCUGUGAUGAUGAAAUGGCGCUGGUGAGGGAGGGGGAGGGGAAGCUGGCUGGCAGGUGCUGAUGGCUCACCUGCUGGGUACCAAGCCAGGCCCCGCCACACUGCCCAGGCACACGGUGACGGGGGCAGACGCCUCUGAGGACUGUUACCAUGUCAUCCGCAGGCAGGGCAGUGAGGACCCUUGCCAGGAACUCCCGGACCCCUCACGGCCUGCUGUGGAGACACCAGCUUCAGGGGUGAUGACUCAGGGGAAUUCAAGGCUGCCGCAGACACCAGCCAGGCGGCCAGGCCUCCCUUGGCUGCCCCUCAUCCGAGGAGCGAGGAGCGGCUGGCAUCCCCGCACUGCCUGCCUCCUCCUCCACGUGGGCCCAGCCCUGAGCCCACUCCGCCUUUGUCACUACGCUGUUGUGUGACCACCAGAAAAGCACUGCCUCGGUUUCCCUGGUUAGAGCAUGGCGACAGUCUCGCCGGACUCCCAGAGGGGGAUAGGGACAAAAAGAGGUCCUCGGUGGGGAUGCCCACGGCCGUCCACGCAGGGGAAAGCCAACACCCCCCUCCCAGCCCCACCCCCAACGUCCUGGCUCCGCCCCUUCCAGGCACUGAGGCCCAAAUGCUAUUACUCCUAGCCAGGAUCUGAUAGGCGAGAGUGGGAGAAGUCGGCACAGGGGACCCGCUGGCUCGGGGCACUUGCAGUGCUGUCAGCUGGACCUUCGCCCUCGCCCCUGUGGCAGCGGGCGGUGGCUCUGGGAGCCCGGCUGUGCCUGGUCCUCGAUGGGCCGCUCCCCGUCUCUUGCGCUAGACUCUUAGGUGCACCCCUCUCCCAGCCAGGGCCAACCUAGGUCAGGGCCUCCUCCCCACUCCUGCG
RNAcentral lists this long non-coding RNA (1390 nucleotides) under Sus scrofa (pig). RNAcentral describes it as "lncRNA (ENSSSCG00015020752.1)". The record is from RNAcentral. Lineage: Eukaryota; Metazoa; Chordata; Mammalia; Artiodactyla; Suidae.